CUCGAGCAAACCUAUCAGAUAUACCAUGCCACUGUACUGCAGAAUCGAGUGCCUUCCUUCGAUACGGCUCGGCAGCCUUCCAGUCCCUUCGUCUCCCGCGCCGGCGUUUCCCCUUCCAGAAAUCCAGCUGCGCACCCACCGUCGCGCAUGCCGUAGCAGCGUCGUCCACCCAGGCAGAAACCCUCUCUCCCUCUUUGCAUCGCCCAAGCAAGAAGCCAACAAUCCUUUCUGUCUUCUUUCCAUCACCCAAGCAAUCCUACUCGAUCUGACCUGCAAGCGUGAAGAAAAAGGGAUCCCCUUGAGGCCUUGAACAAAGCACGAUCUGCACUGCAACCAGGCCUGCAUGGACUGAAGAUUGGAGAUAAGCAGACAGUAAAAGCUUCUUCCAUCAGUCCAUCACCUUAUUUUAUCAGUUUUUUACUCUCGAGAGCCAGAAGUCCAGAACCGAAGAUGCAGGUCGGCAGUAAGCCAAUAACGUCCGCACCCUGGUGCUGGGCCCGGGCUUAUCAGUUGGUCUCCCUUAAAAAAGCACACGGCAACCAUGCGCAGCUCACGUCGCCGUCGAUCACUCGAUGAUCUUGUCGGCCUAGCUCCAAUUGACAAAAAGUCGAGGCCAGACGACGGUCGUCGGUGUAGGAGCUGAGGCCUAAGGCCCUAAGGGAGAGCUAGAGGAGGAGGGCGAAGAGCUUCCCUUGCCCACAAGAUCCAAUCUGGCUCACCCGAUCUGACUCGACUCUCCCAGAAGGUAAACAAGCUCCUCAUGGUCAACCAUGUCUUCUUGACUUCUUGUUUGCUUGAUGCCAAAUCUGAUCUCUUUUUCAAAUUGUAAACACUAUUAGUUCUGCUUCAGUGUAUGUAUCAAAUUGUAAACACUAUUAGUUCUGCUUCAGUGUAUGUAUAGCUGUAAUUCUAGUGGAGAACUGAGCUUUAUUCUCAUUUUUUGAAAUGAACCGCACAAGAUACUGCGUGUUUCAUUGA
This is a long non-coding RNA of Setaria italica (foxtail millet), 978 nucleotides long. RefSeq lists it as uncharacterized. The record is from RefSeq and is a predicted model, not a curated record. Lineage: Eukaryota; Viridiplantae; Streptophyta; Magnoliopsida; Poales; Poaceae. The transcript is spliced from 3 exons.